AGAGUUUGAUCCUGGCUCAGGAUGAACGCUGGCGGCGUGCUUAACACAUGCAAGUCGAACGAAACACCUUAUUUGAUUUUCUUCGGAACUGAAGAUUUGGUGAUUGAGUGGCGGACGGGUGAGUAACGCGUGAGUAACCUACCCUGUACAGGGGGAUAACAGUCAGAAAUGACUGCUAAUACCGCAUAAGACCACAGCACCGCAUGGUGCAGGGGUAAAAACUCCGGUGGUACAGGAUGGACCCGCGUCUGAUUAGCUGGUUGGUGAGGUAACGGCUCACCAAGGCGACGAUCAGUAGCCGGCUUGAGAGAGUGAACGGCCACAUUGGGACUGAGACACGGCCCAAACUCCUACGGGAGGCAGCAGUGGGGAAUAUUGCACAAUGGGGGAAACCCUGAUGCAGCGACGCCGCGUGAGUGAAGAAGUAUCUCGGUAUGUAAAGCUCUAUCAGCAGGGAAGAAAAUGACGGUACCUGACUAAGAAGCCCCGGCUAACUACGUGCCAGCAGCCGCGGUAAUACGUAGGGGGCAAGCGUUAUCCGGAAUUACUGGGUGUAAAGGGUGCGUAGGUGGUAUGGCAAGUCAGAAGUGAAAACCCAGGGCUUAACUCUGGGACUGCUUUUGAAACUGUCAGACUGGAGUGCAGGAGAGGUAAGCGGAAUUCCUAGUGUAGCGGUGAAAUGCGUAGAUAUUAGGAGGAACAUCAGUGGCGAAGGCGGCUUACUGGACUGAAACUGACACUGAGGCACGAAAGCGUGGGGAGCAAACAAAAGUAGAUACCCUGGUAGUCCACGCCGUAAACGA
RNAcentral lists this ribosomal RNA (803 nucleotides) under uncultured bacterium. RNAcentral describes it as "bacterial SSU rRNA". It matches the Rfam family "Bacterial small subunit ribosomal RNA", at positions 8 to 809 of the family's 1533-position model. The record is from RNAcentral.